Dipodomys ordii (Ord's kangaroo rat) is the source of this 121-nucleotide ribosomal RNA. The record is from Ensembl. NCBI's taxonomy places the organism in Eukaryota, Metazoa, Chordata, Mammalia, Rodentia, Heteromyidae.
UACUAAAAUGAUACCCUGAAUAUACUCAGUCUCAUCUGAUCUUGGAAGCUAAAUAGAAUCCAGUACAGUCUGAUUAGUACUUGGAUGGGAGACCACCUGGAAGUACUAGAUACUAUAGGGU